RNAcentral lists this ribosomal RNA (248 nucleotides) under uncultured Tyzzerella sp. Its description in RNAcentral is "partial 16S ribosomal RNA". It matches the Rfam family "Bacterial small subunit ribosomal RNA", at positions 524 to 771 of the family's 1533-position model. The record is from RNAcentral. Lineage: Bacteria; Bacillati; Bacillota; Clostridia; Lachnospirales; Lachnospiraceae.
UACGUAAGGGGCAAGCGUUAUCCGGAUUUACUGGGUGUAAAGGGUGAGUAGGCGGUUCGGCAAGUCAUAUGUGAAAUACCCGGGCUUAACCCGGGAACCGCAUAAGAAACUGUCGAACUUGAGUACAGGAGAGGUAAGCGGAAUUCCCAGUGUAGCGGUGAAAUGCGUAGAUAUUGGGAAGAACACCGGUGGCGAAGGCGGCUUACUGGACUGAAACUGACGCUGAGUCACGAAAGCGUGGGGAGCGA